This 724-nucleotide ribosomal RNA is filed under the name uncultured bacterium. RNAcentral describes it as "bacterial SSU rRNA". It matches the Rfam family "Bacterial small subunit ribosomal RNA", at positions 28 to 776 of the family's 1533-position model. The record is from RNAcentral.
GAUGAACGCUGACAGAAUGCUUAACACAUGCAAGUCUACUUGAUCCUUCGGGUGAAGGUGGCGGACGGGUGAGUAACGCGUAAAGAACUUGCCUUACAGACUGGGACAACAUUUGGAAACGAAUGCUAAUACCGGAUAUUAUGACUGGGUCGCAUGAUCUGGUUAUGAAAGCUAUAUGCGCUGUGAGAGAGCUUUGCGUCCCAUUAGUUAGUUGGUGAGGUAACGGCUCACCAAGACGAUGAUGGGUAGCCGGCCUGAGAGGGUGAACGGCCACAAGGGGACUGAGACACGGCCCUUACUCCUACGGGAGGCAGCAGUGGGGAAUAUUGGACAAUGGACCAAAAGUCUGAUCCAGCAAUUCUGUGUGCACGAAGAAGUUUUUCGGAAUGUAAAGUGCUUUCAGUUGGGAAGAAGUCAGUGACGGUACCAACAGAAGAAGCGACGGCUAAAUACGUGCCAGCAGCCGCGGUAAUACGUAUGUCGCAAGCGUUAUCCGGAUUUAUUGGGCGUAAAGCGCGUCUAGGCGGUUUAGUAAGUCUGAUGUGAAAAUGCGGGGCUCAACCCCGUAUUGCGUUGGAAACUGCUAAACUAGAGUACUGGAGAGGUAGGCGGAACUACAAGUGUAGAGGUGAAAUUCGUAGAUAUUUGUAGGAAUGCCGAUGGGGAAGCCAGCCUACUGGACAGAUACUGACGCUAAAGCGCGAAAGCGUGGGUAGCAAACAGG